RNAcentral lists this ribosomal RNA (740 nucleotides) under uncultured bacterium. Its description in RNAcentral is "bacterial SSU rRNA". It matches the Rfam family "Bacterial small subunit ribosomal RNA", at positions 107 to 859 of the family's 1533-position model. The record is from RNAcentral.
UGAGUAACGCGUGAGCAACCUGCCUUUAUCAGGGGGAUAACGCAUCGAAAGAUGUGCUAAUACCGCGUAAGACCACAGCUUCACAUGGAGCAGAGGUCAAAGGAGCAAUCCGGAUAAAGAUGGGCUCGCGUCCGAUUAGCUAGUUGGUGAGAUAACAGCCCACCAAGGCGACGAUCGGUAGCCGACCUGAGAGGGUGAUCGGCCACAUUGGAACUGAGAUACGGUCCAGACUCCUACGGGAGGCAGCAGUGGGGAAUAUUGGGCAAUGGGCGAAAGCCUGACCCAGCAACGCCGCGUGAGGGAAGAAGGGUUUCGGCUCGUAAACCUCUGUCCUAUGGGACGAAGGAAGUGACGGUACCAUAGGAGGAAGCCCCGGCUAACUACGUGCCAGCAGCCGCGGUAAUACGUAGGGGGCGAGCGUUGUCCGGAAUGAUUGGGCGUAAAGGGCGCGUAGGCGGCCUGCUAAGUCUGGAGUGAAAGUCCUGCUUUCAAGGUGGGAAUUGCUUUGGAUACUGGUGGGCUGGAGUGCAGGAGAGGAAAGCGGAAUUACCGGUGUAGCGGUGAAAUGCGUAGAGAUCGGUAGGAACACCAGUGGCGAAGGCGGCUUUCUGGACUGAAACUGACGCUGAGGCGCGAAAGCGUGGGGAGCAAACAGGAUUAGAUACCCUGGUAGUCCACGCGGUAAACGAUGAAUGCUAGGUGUAGGAGGUAUCGACCCCUUCUGUGCCGCAGUAAACACA